UGCGGUUGAGACAGCUCAUGUUUGCUUCCAACCUAGAACCACCUCUGCUGGUUAAUACUCGUCUUAACGUCACAUUGUUUGGUGACUAUCUUCUUACCAAUUGAUGAUUGUGUGUUGAAUGCGUUUUCAAGCAAGACAAUGUUCAUGUUAGUUUGUUUCGACGUUCUUCUUGGUACCCUAUCAACCUUGUUCAAGCUUGUGUCUCUAU
This is a long non-coding RNA of Arabidopsis thaliana (thale cress), 208 nucleotides long. RefSeq annotates it as other RNA. The record is from RefSeq. The transcript has a single exon. NCBI's taxonomy places the organism in Eukaryota, Viridiplantae, Streptophyta, Magnoliopsida, Brassicales, Brassicaceae.